This 517-nucleotide ribosomal RNA is filed under the name uncultured bacterium. RNAcentral describes it as "bacterial SSU rRNA". It matches the Rfam family "Bacterial small subunit ribosomal RNA", at positions 501 to 1016 of the family's 1533-position model. The record is from RNAcentral.
CUACGUGCCAGCAGCCGCGGUAAUACGUAGGUCCCGAGCGUUGUCCGGAUUUAUUGGGCGUAAAGCGAGCGCAGGCGGUUAGAUAAGUCUGAAGUUAAAGGCUGUGGCUUAACCAUAGUACGCUUUGGAAACUGUUUAACUUGAGUGCAAGAGGGGAGAGUGGAAUUCCAUGUGUAGCGGUGAAAUGCGUAGAUAUAUGGAGGAACACCGGUGGCGAAAGCGGCUCUCUGGUCUGUAACUGACGCUGAGGCUCGAAAGCGUGGGGAGCGAACAGGAUUAGAUACCCUGGUAGUCCACGCCGUAAACGAUGAGUGCUAGGUGUUGGAUCCUUUCCGGGAUUCAGUGCCGCAGCUAACGCAUUAAGCACUCCGCCUGGGGAGUACGACCGCAAGGUUGAAACUCAAAGGAAUUGACGGGGGCCCGCACAAGCGGUGGAGCAUGUGGUUUAAUUCGAAGCAACGCGAAGAACCUUACCAGGUCUUGACAUCCCGAUGCUAUUUCUAGAGAUAGAAAGUUA